RNAcentral lists this ribosomal RNA (253 nucleotides) under uncultured bacterium. RNAcentral describes it as "partial 16S ribosomal RNA". It matches the Rfam family "Bacterial small subunit ribosomal RNA", at positions 524 to 776 of the family's 1533-position model. The record is from RNAcentral.
UACAGAGGGUGCGAGCGUUGUCCGGAAUCACUGGGCGUAAAGGGCGCGUAGGUGGCGACCCAAGUCGAUGGUGAAAGCUCGCCGCUCAACGGCGAGUCGGCCACCGAUACUGGGUUGCUCGAGCACUGUAGAGGCUCAUGGAAUUCCGGGUGUAGCGGUGGAAUGCGUAGAGAUCCGGAAGAACACCGGUGGCGAAGGCGGCCUGCUGGGCAGUUGCUGACACUGAGGCGCGACAGCGUGGGGAGCAAACAGG